RNAcentral lists this transfer-messenger RNA (387 nucleotides) under filamentous cyanobacterium CCP5. It matches the Rfam family "transfer-messenger RNA". Rfam says of the family: Bacterial tmRNA, also known as 10Sa RNA or SsrA, is named for its dual tRNA and mRNA-like properties. Its role is to liberate the mRNA from a stalled ribosome. To accomplish this part of the tmRNA is used as a reading frame that ends in a translation stop signal. The record is from Rfam by way of RNAcentral. RNAcentral also lists the same sequence under 1 other name. Lineage: Bacteria; Bacillati; Cyanobacteriota.
GGGGCUGUAACGGUUUCGACGUUCUGACGAAAGUCACUCUGUGAUUCAGGCCGAGAGUGAGCCUACUCUCGCAAAUCAAGGCUCAAAACCAAAUGUAAGUGCGAACAACAUCGCUCCUUUUGCUCGUAAAGCGGCUCCUGUUGCUGCUUAAUUAAAAAAACGCGAGCGUCUGUAGUCUGACUCCGUUAAGGGCUAUGGACAAAACCCCAACGGAUGCUGCAUUGGGUUUUCUUUGGUAGACCCUUUGCUUAAGACUUUUAUCAAAGAAUCCUGCCGCUAGGAAUAAUUAGUGGAUCCCGCUCAGAGGACCAGAUGAGCUAAGCCUGUGAAUGAGUGGAGUGUUACUACUCAGAGCGGACACGGGUUCGACUCCCGUCAGCUCCAUAC